UCCCUGGCAGUCCAGUGGUUAGGACCUGGCGCUUUUACUGCCAUGGGUCCAGGUUCAAUCCCUGGUCAGGGAA
Molecule: non-coding RNA, 73 nt
Organism: Globicephala melas (long-finned pilot whale)
Lineage: Eukaryota; Metazoa; Chordata; Mammalia; Artiodactyla; Delphinidae
Source: the annotation of a RefSeq genome assembly